CCGUUUUCCUCUCCACUGGGCCGGCCUCCCAAGGCCCAGCCGCCCCUCCUAACCCUAGCACACCCCUGGCAUCUCCCUCAUCUCCCUCCAGGCUGCCGCUCACGCACGCAUCAAGCCAUGAGGCCGCGAUCGAUCCCCUUUUCCCUCUCUUCAAUCUCCCUUGCAGCGCCCCAGUCCGCUCGAUCCCCUGUCUCUCCUGCCAUUUCCCUCGACCCUCUCCUCUGGUUCUCCUAGUGCAGGCAGAGGGGCCGCGCAUCGUGCCUGAUCCAUGGUCUUCCCCUUCCUCUCAUCGCGGUUCUCCUCGCUGAACCUCCCCGAGCUGGAGCCUCCACCUCCGUCGCCAUGGCGCUGCGGCCCUGUCGCUUCCCUGCCUCUCUGUUGCGCUAGGGACUCGAGCCCUCCACCAGCAGGUGCACUGCUCCAACCCACACCUCAGGCGUCCUUGCCGUCGUCGUCGCCUAGCCAGGAGGCCACCUGAUCUGGACGCCCACAGACCUCCGGCCAUCUUCGGUUGCAGCCCGCUGGCCUCGUUGCUCCUCUUGUCACUGCCAAGACGCGGCAGCCAGGGAGCCCAAGACCGCCUUCGUGGUUUUCGCCAAGUUCGUCCACCGCCAAAUGAGUUGGAGAUCCAUUGAUGCAUCUCCAUGUGGAACCUAACAAGUACAACUGGUUUCCCCAAGCAACACACCGCAAGCGCCAAGUACCUCUGCCGACGGCCCUGAACAUGUACGAAAUGCGUACCACUACGCGGGAUUCCUCGGACGCCAAGUUCCACGAUGUGUCAAGUUCCUCGCCGUGACCCCGAACAUCUACAGAAACUCGUGCAAUUAUGAACGCAAACGACUACCGUAGACCCCAAGUUACUCGUAUUCUCCAAGUUCCUCUUCGAAACAUGUACCACUACCAUCGCCAAUAUCGCGAAUACCUCUACUGUCGUCAUGUACCCCUACUUCCACUA
This is a long non-coding RNA of Triticum dicoccoides, 958 nucleotides long. RefSeq lists it as uncharacterized. The record is from RefSeq and is a predicted model, not a curated record. Lineage: Eukaryota; Viridiplantae; Streptophyta; Magnoliopsida; Poales; Poaceae. The transcript is spliced from 2 exons.